GGCGCAUGUUAGAGAGAUUAAAGGAGUGAUCCGCUUAGGGAUGAGCUUGCGGCCCAUUAGUUUGUUGGCGGGGUAACGGCCCACCAAGACUGCGAUGGGUAGCCGGCCUGAGAGGGUGAACGGCCACAUUGGGACUGAGAUACGGCCCAGACUCCUACGGGAGGCAGCAGUAGGGAAUUUUGCGCAAUGGACGAAAGUCUGACGCAGCAACGCCGCGUGAGGGAUGACGGCCUUCGGGUUGUAAACCUCUGUUGGAUGGGAAAAAACGGUAGCAAUACCUUGAUGGUACCAUUCGAGUAAGCACCGGCUAACUACGUGCCAGCAGCCGCGGUAAUACGUAGGGUGCGAGCGUUGUUCGGAAUCACUGGGCGUAAAGGGAGCGUAGGCGGGAUCGUAAGUUAGGAGUUUAAUGCAUGGGCUUAACCCAUGACCUGCUCUUAAUACUGCGGUUCUUGAGUAUGGGAGAGGGCGAUGGAAUUCCAGGUGUAGCGGUGGAAUGCGUAGAUAUCUGGAAGAACACCAGUAGCGAAGGCGGUCGCCUGGCCCAAUACUGACGCUGAGGCUCGAAAGCUAGGGGAGCGAACAGGAUUAGAUACCCUGGUAGUCCUAGCCGUAAACGAUGAACACUAGUUGCCGGAGGAGUCAAUCUUUUCGGUGACGAAGCUAACGCAUUAAGUGUUCCGCCUGGGAAGUGCGCCCGCAAGGGAGAAGCUCAAAGGAACUGACGGGGGCCCGCACAAGCGGUGGAGCAUGUGCUUUAAUUCGAUGCAACGCGAAGAACCUUACCUAGACUUGACAUGGGGGUGAAAUUCUGUAGAAAUAUGGAACCUUCCGCAAGGAACACCCUACACAGGUGCUGCAUGGUUGUCGUCAGCUCGUGUCGUGAGAUGUUGGGUUAAGUCCCGCAACGAGCGCAACCCUCGUCCUUAGUUGCUAACAGGUUAUGCUGAGAACUCUAAGGAGACUGCCUGGUUUAACCAGGAGGAAGGUGGGGAUGACGUCAAAUCCUCAUGGCCCUUACGUCUAGGGCUAGACACGUGCCACAAUGGCCGGUACAACGGGCUGCAAGUCGGUGACGACAAGCUAAUCCCUUAAAACCGGUCUCAGUUCGGAUUGAAGUCUGCAAUUCGACUUCAUGAAGCUGGAAUCGCUAGUAAUCGCGGAUCAGCAUGCCGCGGUGAAUACGUUCCCGGGCCUUGUACACACCGCCCGUCAAGCCAAGAAAGAUGGCAGU
Molecule: ribosomal RNA, 1234 nt
Filed under: metagenome
Description: bacterial SSU rRNA
Rfam family: Bacterial small subunit ribosomal RNA
Source: RNAcentral